RNAcentral lists this transfer RNA (94 nucleotides) under Nonomuraea africana. Its description in RNAcentral is "tRNA-OTHER". The record is from RNAcentral. Lineage: Bacteria; Bacillati; Actinomycetota; Actinomycetes; Streptosporangiales; Streptosporangiaceae.
GCGUAUGCCCAGGUCAGCAUUUCCCAAGCUCAGACCGCGUGAUCUUGAAAGAGUCAAGCUGACAACGCGGGUUCGAUUCCCGUCACCCGCUCCA